RNAcentral lists this ribosomal RNA (497 nucleotides) under uncultured bacterium. RNAcentral describes it as "partial 16S ribosomal RNA". It matches the Rfam family "Bacterial small subunit ribosomal RNA", at positions 28 to 507 of the family's 1533-position model. The record is from RNAcentral.
GAUGAACGCUGGCGGCGUGCCUAAUACAUGCAAGUCGAGCGAACAGACGAGGAGCUUGCUCCUCUGACGUUAGCGGCGGACGGGUGAGUAACACGUGGAUAACCUACCUAUAAGACUGGGAUAACUUCGGGAAACCGUAGCUAAUACCGGAUAAUAUAUUGAACCGCAUGGUUCAAUAGUGAAAGACGGUUUUGCUGUCACUUAUAGAUGGAUCCGCGCCGCAUUAGCUAGUUGGUAAGGUAACGGCUUACCAAGGCAACGAUGCGUAGCCGACCUGAGAGGGUGAUCGGCCACACUGGAACUGAGACACGGUCCAGACUCCUACGGGAGGCAGCAGUAGGGAAUCUGCCGCAAAGGGCGAAAGCCUGACGGAGCAACGCCGCGUGAGUGAUGAAGGUCUUCGGAUCGUAAAACUCUGUUAUUAGGGAAGAACAAAUGUGUAAGUAACUAUGCACAUCUUGACGGUACCUAAUCAGAAAGCCACGGCUAACUACGUG